This 86-nucleotide transfer RNA is filed under the name Leptolyngbya sp. RNAcentral's name for it is "tRNA-Tyr". It matches the Rfam family "tRNA". Rfam says of the family: Transfer RNA (tRNA) molecules are approximately 80 nucleotides in length. Lineage: Bacteria; Bacillati; Cyanobacteriota; Cyanophyceae; Leptolyngbyales; Leptolyngbyaceae. The record is from RNAcentral.
GGGUAGGUAUGCAAAUGGCUGAAGCAGACUGACUGUAAAUCAGUUGUCCUUGACCACUGGGGGUUCGAGUCCCUCCCUGCCCACCU